GUGGGGAAUCUUGCGCAAUGGGCGAAAGCCUGACGCAGCCAUGCCGCGUGAAUGAUGACGGUCUUAGGAUUGUAAAAUUCUUUCACCGGGGACGAUAAUGACGGUACCCGGAGAAGAAGCUCCGGCUAACUUCGUGCCAGCAGCCGCGGUAAUACGAAGGGGGCUAGCGUUGCUCGGAAUUACUGGGCGUAAAGGGCGCGUAGGCGGACAGCUUAGUCAGAGGUGAAAGCCCAGGGCUCAACCUUGGAAUUGCCUUUGAUACUGGCUGUCUUGAGAUUGGGAGAGGUGAGUGGAACUCCGAGUGUAGAGGUGAAAUUCGUAGAUAUUCGGAAGAACACCAGUGGCGAAGGCGACUCACUGGCCCAAUACUGACGCUGAGGCGCGAAAGCGUGGGGAGCAAACAGGAUUAGAAACCCUUGUAGUCC
This 425-nucleotide ribosomal RNA is filed under the name uncultured bacterium. RNAcentral describes it as "partial 16S ribosomal RNA". It matches the Rfam family "Bacterial small subunit ribosomal RNA", at positions 354 to 796 of the family's 1533-position model. The record is from RNAcentral.